This 478-nucleotide ribosomal RNA is filed under the name uncultured bacterium. RNAcentral describes it as "partial 16S ribosomal RNA". It matches the Rfam family "Bacterial small subunit ribosomal RNA", at positions 28 to 523 of the family's 1533-position model. The record is from RNAcentral.
GACGAACGCUGGCGGCGUGCUUAACACAUGCAAGUCGAACGGUAAGGCCCUUCGGGGUACACGAGUGGCGAACGGGUGAGUAACACGUGGGUGAUCUGCCCUGCACUUCGGGAUAGGCCUGGGAAACUGGGUCUAAUACCGGAUAGGACCACUGCCUGCAUGGGUGGUGGUGGAAAGCUUUUGCGGUGUGGGAUGGGCCCGCGGCCUAUCAGCUUGUUGGUGGGGUGAUGGCCUACCAAGGCGACGGCGGGUAGCCGGCCUGAGAGGGUGACCGGGCACACUGGGACUGAAAUACGGGCCAGACUCCUACGGGAGGCAGCAGUGGGGAAUAUUGCACAAUGGGCGCAAGCCUGAUGCGGCGACGCCGCGUGAGGGAUGACGGCCUUCGGGUUGUAAACCUCUUUCAGCACCGACGAAGCGCAAGUGACGGUAGGUGCAGAAGAAGGACCGGCCAACUACGUGCCAGCCGCCGCGGUAA